Molecule: ribosomal RNA, 305 nt
Filed under: uncultured bacterium
Lineage: Bacteria
Description: partial 16S ribosomal RNA
Rfam family: Bacterial small subunit ribosomal RNA
Source: RNAcentral
ACAGCAGCCGCCGCGGUAAUACGUAGGUGGCAAGCGUCGUCCGGAAUUAUUGGGCGUAAAGCGCGCGCAGGCGGAUCAGUCAGUCUGUCUUAAAAGUUCGGGGCUUAACCCCGUGAGGGGAUGGAAACUGCUGAUCUAGAGUAUCGGAGAGGAAAGUGGAAUUCCUAGUGUAGCGGUGAAAUGCGUAGAUAUUAGGAAGAACACCAGUGGCGAAGGCGACUUUCUGGACGAAAACUGACGCUGAGGCGCGAAAGCCAGGGGAGCGAACGGGAUUAGAGACCCCAGUAGUCCCUGUCUCUUAUACC